RNAcentral lists this long non-coding RNA (1632 nucleotides) under Mytilus galloprovincialis (Mediterranean mussel). Lineage: Eukaryota; Metazoa; Mollusca; Bivalvia; Mytilida; Mytilidae. The record is from RNAcentral.
AAUAUUCAUUUCCUUUUUCGGUUUCUAUUUCCUUAUUCGGUUUCUAUUUCCUAAUUGGAUUUUCGUUUCCUUAUUCGAUUUCCAUUUCCUUAUUCGAUUUUCAUUUCCUAAUUCGGUUUCUUUUUCCUUUUUCAAUAUUCAUUUCCUUUUUUCGGUUUCUAGUUCCUUAUUCGGUUUCUAUUUCCUUAUUGGAUUUUCAUUUCCUUAUUCAAUUUCCAUUUCCUUAUUCGGUUUCUUUUUCCUUAUUCGGUUCCUUUUUCCUUAUUCGGUUUCUUUUUCCUUUUUCAAUAUUCAUUACCUUUUUCGGUUUCUAUUUCCUUAUUCGGUUUCUAUUUCCUUUUUCGAUUUUCAUUUCCUUAUUUGGUUUCCAUUUUCCUUUUUCGAUAUUCAAAUUUUGAAAAAUAUUACAAGUCCAAACUGAAUUUUUUUUUUCCUUCAAAAUUUUUUUUCCUUCAAAAUUUUUUUCCUCAAAAUUUUUUUUUCCUCAAAUUUUUUUUUCCUCAAAAUUUUUUUUCCUCAAAAUUUUUUUUCCUCAAAAUUUUUUUUUCCUCAAUUUUUUUUUCCUCAAAUUUUUUUUUUCCUCAAAAUAUUUUUCCUCAAAAAGUUUUUUUUCAUUUCCUUAUUCGUUUUCUUUUUCCUUUUUCGAUUAUCAUCCUUAUUUGAUUUCCAUUUCCUUAUUCGAUUUUCAUUUCCUUAUUCGAUUUUCUUUUCCUUAUUCGGUUUCUUCUUCCUUUUUCAAUAUUCAUUUCCUUUUUCAGUUUCUACUUCCUUUUUCAAUAUUCAUUUCCUUUUUCGGUUUCUAUUUCCUUAUUCGGUUUCUAUUUCCUUAUUCGGUUUCUAUUUCCUAAUUGGAUUUUCGUUUUCUUAUUCGAUUUCCAUUUCCUUAUUCGAUUUUCAUUUCCUAAUUCGGUUUCUUUUUCUUUUUCAAUAUUCAUUUCCUUUUUCGGUUUCUAGUUCCUUAUUCGGUUUCUAUUUCCUUAUUGGAUUUUCAUUUCCUUAUUCAAUUUCCAUUUCCUUUUUUCGGUUUCUUUUUCCUUAUUCGGUUCCUUUUUCCUUAUUCGGUUUCUUUUUCCUUUUUCAAUAUUCAUUUCCUUUUUCGGUUUCUAUUUCCUUAUUCGGUUUCUAUUUCCUUAUUCAAUUUUCAUUUCCUUAUUCAGUUUCUUUUUCCUUUUUCAAUAUUCAUUUCCCUAUUCGGUUUCUAUUUCCUUAUUCAGUUUCUAUUUCCUUAUUGGAUUUUCAUUUCCUUAUUCGAUUUCCAUUUCCUUAUUCGAUUUUCAUUUCCUUAUUCGGUUUCUUUUUCCUUUUUCAAUAUUCCUUUCCUUUUUCGGUUUCUAUUUCCUUAUUCAGUUUCUAUUUCCUAAAUGGAUUUUCGUUUCCUUAUUCGAUUUCCAUUUCCUUAUUCGAUUUUCAUUUCCUAAUUCGGUUUCUUUUUCCUUUUUCAAUAUUCAUUUCCUUUUUCGGUUUCUAUUUCCUUAUUCGGUUUCUAUUUCCUUUUUCGAUUUUCAUUUCCUUAUUCGGUUUCCAUUUCCUUUUUCGAUAUUCAAAUUUUGAAAAAUAUUACAAGUCCAAACUGAAUUUUUUUUUUCCUUCAAAAUUUUUUUCCUCAAAAUUUUUUUUCCUCAAAAUUUUUUU